GAUGCUGUCCCCUGUGAACAAAGGGAUUUAAAACUUGAUCCAAUUCAAACUGUCAGAUUUCUGUGUUCACAUUGUUAAAAUAAUAGAUUCUGUGUUGCAUAUUGGGGUGGGUGACUUUCACCUGCAAUCUAGAUGAAGAGGACAUUCCUACAGAGCGCUAGGGGGUUUGAGUCCCAGUGACAUCCAAUAAUGUGCCAUUGAGGGAGAAUGCAGGUGUCAUUCCAGCCAAUCACUGCAGCAGCUGAUUCCACUAAUUAGAUACUCCCUCCUUUAGCUGACUGCAUUCUAAUCAACUGCUGUGGUACUGAGUGAAAGGGAACUUGAGCCCACAGAAAAGGGACUGUCGCUGGCUGAGCAGCUUCCUCUCCACCUCGUCACGCCUCCCCCCUCUCCUUGUCAACUCAUGAGAUGUUGAGAGGACAAAGAAAACCAGCUCCCACUGAAUUCUGAGUGACCCCUUCACACCAGCGAGCAGUGAACUGACUAUCAGCCAGGACAUAAUGUGCAGCUGAAAAUGCAGCAGAACAACAGUGACCAGCACUGAAAAGCAAUUGAAGAGGAGCCACUGCUCAAUUUACUCUAAGACACUGGUGGUGUGGCAGAGACAAUCCUGAAGACUGACUUCCAUAAUAGAGAGCACCAACCUGGAGAAAACCCAUGCUGUAAAUCUCUCCUGGCUUUAUGGUGCACAUCGCAAGUACAUAAAUGAGGAGGAAGGACCGUGUACAUCCGCCUGACCGGAAUGGAUACGCUGUGUGUCUUUACUGCAUCUCCUGCGACAGACAUGGCAAAUAAAAGAAGGUGCUACCAGACAUACUACAGAAGCACUGCUGUAUCUUACCAGACAGGAACACAGGUGUGAAGAGGUUGCUGAUGAAAUUGAAGAGCAGGGAGAUAUACUCAGACCAGCAGUAUUCAUGGUCGCCCUCGCAGUACUUCGAUGAGGACAGCUACUCCCCUCCACCCAGGAACAUGAAGGGUCUUUCUGGCGGCCGCCCUGCCCAGCUCCAGCUCACCUCUCCAACCUCUGCCCACACUUGCGGCCUGGCUGAAUGUGACCAUUCCCUGGACCAUCACCUCCACCAUGGAAACUCGCGACCCCCCUCCUACCUCCUCAGCCCCACGGAGAGCUGCCCCCUCGACAGUCACCAUCGCUGCUCCCCACGGAGCUCCAUCCACUCUGAGUGUAUGGUGAUGCCAGUGUCCAUGUCAGCCACCGAUCACUCCAUCUCUAGUAGCACUUUCCCACGCAUGCACUACGGAAGCACUUCACGGGACACUGGUGGCAACACAUCUGGCUGCAGGGAAUCCCGAGAUGACGGUGGCUCAUCCUCGCAUGGUGGGAGUGGCAAAAUGAACCGAAUCCCAGCAAACCUCCUAGACCAGUUUGAGAAGCAGAUGCCAUUACACCGGGAUGGCUUCCACACCCUUCAAUACCAACGCACCUCCACCACAACCACAACUACAGAGCAACGCAAUGAGAGCCCAGGGCGAAUACGCCACUUAGUCCAUUCUGUACAGAAGCUCUUCACAAAAUCCCACUCUCUAGAAGGUUCCUCCAAGAUGAAUGGUACCAAAAGUGAUUCGCACCGCGACAGUUCACACCACCACCAUCACCACCACCACCAGGGCCACCACAAACACAGCAAACGCAGCAAGAGUAAAGAACGUAAAUCUGAUGGCAGUGGCAAGCAGCGCUCAGGAGGUUGGUGGAGUUCGGAUGACAACCUGGAUAGUGACAGCACUUACAGAACACCCAGUGUCAUGUCACGGCAUCCUGUGGACCACAUCAGUCACUGCUACCCUGACUCAGUGCAUGGCCAUCUGACUGGAGACGUAUCAAUCAAGACCUCCAAGAGUAACAACGAUGUCAAGUGCUCAGCCUGCGAGAGUAUAAGCAUGGCACCAGAGGGAAAAUUCAUGAAGAGGAGCUCCUGGUCAACCCUAACAGUCAGCCAAGCAAAGGAAGCCUACAGGAAGUCCUCACUCAACCUGGAGAAGCCCAUGACGCCCACCGACCUCAAGCCUAACCUCAGGCCCUGUCACUAUCUACAGGUGCCCCAGGAUGAUUGGGGGGGUUACCCUGGCGAUGGGAAGGAUGACGAGAUUCCUUGUCGUCGGAUGAGGAGCAGCAGCUACGUUAAAGCAAUGGGAGAUGAAGAGAGCGGAGAGUCGGACUCCAGCCCCAAGACAUCACCCCAGAAGUCGGUGCGGCCUGAUGCUCUGGUCAAGGCCAUCAUCAGACCCAGGGACCUGCUGGACUCCCAGAGCUCUUACCGCCUGGAUAAAAUCAACAGUGACAUGCGUAACUACAUCACCAAUUUUGCUGCAGACUUAAGUCAGAGCUACCACUUGCAAGCCACCAGGGACAUGCACCCAAGCAUUGCCCUGGAUCCCUCCACCAACUACAACUCUCCCAAGUUUCGCUCCAGGAACCAGAGCUAUAUGCGGGCUGUCAGCACCCUCAGUCAGGCUAGCUGUGUUAGCCAAGUGAGCCAGGUGAGUGAAACAGAAAUAAAUGGCCAGUUUGAAUCAGUGUGCGAGUCAGUGUUCAGUGAGGUGGAAUCCCAGGCCAUGGAGGCUUUGGACCUCCCUGGCUGCUUCAGAACUCGGAGUCACAGCUACCUGCGAGCCAUCCAGGCUGGCUACUCCCAAGACGAUGACUGCAUCCCCCCCAUGGCUUCCACUGUCACCUCCACCAUCAGGUCUACCACAGGGAUCCAGUUCGGCUUCCCCUCCACCUGCAGCAUUGAUCGGACUCUCCAGCAAACCCCAGCCAUCACCUACACACCCAACUACAAGAAGACCCCUCCUCCAGUCCCGCCCCGCACCACCUCCAAACCCCUCAUCUCCAUCACGGCCCAGAGCAGUACUGAGUCCACCCAGGAUGCCUACCAUGAGGGGAGGCACCCACAUGGUGGGGUGUGGGCCUCUGAUGGUCUCAGCCUGGGGCUGAACCCAGGCAGGGCCCUCUAUAACUCCACCGACAGCCUGGAUAGCGCCAAGGCUGUGACCAUAGCCAUGGAGGCAGCCGGAGUCAUGGCUGGAAAAAGACACCCGUCCACAGACAGCCACAGCUCAGUGCUCACCUGCGACAAGGCCAUCCUGGUGUCCAAGGCUGAGGAGUACUUGAAGACGCCUCGAUCCUCUAUAGGGAUACAGGUGGAAGCAGCCACGGACUCUGAAUCUGAAAGCAAAGGUUCACGGGAGUACCACUCUGUUGGGAUCCAGGUGGAAGACAACAAGAAAGGACAAGGCAGGUUCAAACGUUCAAACAGUGUGACUGCAGCUGUGCAGGCUGACAUGGAGUUGGAGGGCUUCCCCAUCAUGGAGGACAAGGGCCUGCAGUUUGGUGGGAGCUUCCAGCGUCACUCAGAGCCCAGCACACCCACCCAGUAUGGGGCAGUGCGAACCGUGCGUACCCAAGGGCUCUUCAGCUACCGUGAGGAUUACCGCACCCCUGCUGAACCCGCCAGCCCUAGAGAGACCACCAGCGAGACCACCUGGCAGCUGGAACCCCCCUCCCCACGGGAGAGCGCGGCCUCAUCGGGCGAGUCGGGCAGGGCGUCCCCCUCACUGAGGAGGGAUGGGAGCUGGUUCAUGCAACUGCUCCACACAGAUACCAAGAGGAUUGAGGGCUGGUGUAAGGAGAUGGAGGCAGAAGCUGAAGAGAAUGACCUGUCAGAGGAAAUCCUAGGCAAAAUCAGAAGUGCAGUGGGAAGCGCUCAGCUGCUCAUGUCUCAGAAAUUCCAGCAAUUCUACUGGCUGUGUCAGCAAAACCUGGACCCUAGUGCCAUGCCACGGCCCACUUCUCAGGACCUGGCUGGGUUCUGGGACCUAUUGCAGCUUUCCAUUGACGAUGUCACAAUGAAGUUUGACCAGCUGCAGCAGAUCAAGAACAACAGCUGGAGGCCCAUAGACAGCCCUGAGAAGAAGCCACCAGCUCCCGUACCAAAGAAGACUGCUCGACAGAGGAGCGUGAUAACGAGAGAGAAAUCCCUGGACCUCCCAGACAGGCACCGGCAGGAGGCCCGGCGGCGGCUCAUGGCGGCCAAGCGGGCAGCCUCAUUCCGGCAGAACUCAGCCUCGGAGCGAGCAGACAGCAUUGAGAUCUAUAUUCCCGAAGCUCAGACUAGACUUUGAGAGCGUAGGGUCCGGGGCCGACACAUCUCCCUGCACCCAUGUUCAAACGAUUUUAAAACUAGCCUUUUUUCUAGACCGCUACUCUCUCUACUCCUCCUUUAUCCAUCUGUUGUCUGAUCUCAAUAGCCAUCCUCAGUGCCCAUCACCAACACCACUGAUCUGUAGGAUGUGCCAAGUCUCUUCUCCCAUUGCCAGAAUAAGUGUUAGCAGAAAUGUCUGACGUGGGUCGGUUGGGUUCUUCCCUGGUGUGCUGGUGAUCAUGAUACUCAGCCUACAAGCUCUCUCAUCCAAUGUCCUGGAUGGGUAUGUCUGUAGUUUUUUCUGCAUUUGCAAAGUGCCAUUUAAAAAGUGCAGCUUUGAAAACCUACCAGCAACCAGGCCUUUGAGCUAAAAAGAGUAAAUGAGAGAAAUUCUGUUUAUUUCAAGUUCUUCAAAAAUGGUCAAAGUUAGGUAAUCUUCAGUAUUUUUCAGUAAUUUGAUGUAACAUUAUGAAUAUAAUUUUUGUUUCUCUGCUCUUUUUUUGGGGUGGGGGUGGGGUAAAUGUUAAUUACAAGUUAAAUAUCACAAAAUUGUUGUAAGUUUAAAACUUUGAAAAGUGCCAAUGCUUGAAAUACCUCAACUAUGUGCAUGUGGCACUGAUCACCCAUUCAAGGUUAUUCAGGCAACCCUUAUAAGCUCUGGACUGGUCAGUGUUGAAAAAUGCAGCUUUCUAUCCAAUCUGGUUGUAGUCAAACUUUUUUCUCGGUCUGGAUUGGUGGAAGAAUGACACCUGUCAGCUCAUUAACAUGCACAUUUUCAAACAAGUUUCCUAUAUAUCUCAUGUUCCUGUUGCCAACUUUCAGAUAUUGACAUUUACUUGAUGCUGAAAACAUGCAAGUGUUGUGCCAACAUUUCAUUAUGUCAGUGCAGUAGAAAAAAAACUAUGAAGGUUUGUGUAACUCCUUAGAUCAAAAUGUGUAGACAAAUGCACUUAUGCACUUAUAACAAUUCUCUAUUUCCAAGGGAAAUGUACAUACCCAAGUUCACAAUAGUACUGUUGUAUUUUUGAAUUGUGAGCAGGAAAAAUAUUCAUUGUGUGUAUUUUUUUUCCUCUCAUGUUCACUGCUUCCCUGCCCUCUCUAUUGCUUUUUGUUGCAUACAGUACAUACAGCAGCUUGAUCCCCCAUACAAAAUCAUACUGCUGUGUUUUCAUCUAAUGUACUUCUCUCAGGCCCUUUCAAGUGGCGCCCUCAGCUAUAGUUAAUGAGGAGUGAUAGAAAAACUGCCACAACAAAAACAAAAUAUCUGCAUACUAGUUUCUUUAAUCCAAGGAAUGGUUUCUAAUCUUCAUAUUUCUCGAAAGGAUCCGUGUUGCUAAAAGUUUCCUGAAGCAGUAUCACUCCAGCUGCAUGCACUCCCUCUAGGAAAGGCUGGGAAAUAAUUAAACAAAAUUGGGGCAAAGGCAUUCCAGGGGGAUGCAAGCAGCAAGUCCCCAAAUAACUAAAACUUUACAAGUCUCCUGUUGAAAGGAAAUACAUGCAGAAUAUAAUAUAACCGUCUGUAGCUAUGUGGAAAACUUGAUAUUUUGUCACAACAUGACAGUAAGCUCGAUAUUAUCCUUUACCUUUGAUUCCCAUCACAAUAUUGAGAUGUACCAAUUGCACCAGCUCUUCAUAUCUUAUAUAUAUAACUUAUAUAUCAUAUAAGUUAUUAGAAGGCUGAGUGGAGAUUUCCACAUCAAAAAAAUAAAAGUGACCUGUCCACACAAACACAUGUAACUGUCAGGUGUAAAUGUUAACAAGCUAACUGAAUCAAGCAGCAGAACCGUUAGCUUGUUAAUAUGGUCCCAUUUAGAUUGAGAAGUAAAAGUUCAAUUUCAAAUGAAAUAUUGUUACCAUAUCUCACCUGACCCUUGAUCAAAAUGUCUUACAAUGAUGUAAACUGUAACGAUUUUAAUUUUACACAACACACCUGAAAUUACACAAUAGUAUGCUAAGUCUGAGUCUGAGUCAGUCAAAUUACCAUAAUUAAUAUUUUCAACUCUUUUCUAAACCAUAUGCCAACUCUGAAACACAUUUUCUCAUUUAAAUUACUAAAUACUUACCAGCCUAAGACAUUUUUUAUGGUGCAAUUGAACCCAAUUUAUUACAUAAAUCUCUUAUUUGAAGCUAGCUAGUAGCGUAUACAAAGAAUAGCUGGUGCGACACAAACACAUAGUAAACUCAUCUUGAGCAAUUAAGCUAAAAUUCUGCUGCUCUUUAUUAUCAAACUUUGGUGCCAGUAACUUGAACAUCAGUAACCAUUGUAUUGCCAGACUUAUUCAAAUCACUGAUGGUAAAAACUUUGGAUAAUCAGCCAACUAAAUGGUGCUGUUUUUUAUUUAAUAAAUACAGUACUAGACAAACAAUGCAACGCAGUAUGCUGUCAGCUGAUCAUCACUUUAAAAAUAUUUUUAUGUAUUAGAAAUCUUUGAUUGAAGGAUUGUGCCUGCAUUAUGGGUAGGACCAGGGAGAUUUAUCAUAUAGCAGUAACAAGAAAUUAGGCUUAAUUUUGCUGGAUUUGAUUGUGUUUUGUUGUGUGUGUGUGUGUGUGUGUGUGUGUGUGUGCAUGUAUCUUGUUUUUGUAAUGGAAUGCUGACAUAUUCAGAAAAGAGCAGGUGGCUCUGGGGUCGGUGUGGCUUCAUGUCACUGUUCCUGCCCGCCUUUGGCCUGACCUUCACCUCUAUCUCAUACAAAUGCAAGCAAGCACACAGACACACAUUUUCCCUUUGUCAUCAGCACUCUGUUGAAGCAUAUUUAACCCUCGUAUUGUCUUCCCGUCAACCAAACAACUUUCGUCCUCUUGGGAUGAUACUGACCCAUUCUGAUUUAGCUGGUUAUAAAGUAUGAAAUAUGUAGUUAUUCCCCAAUGCUGUGUAGCACCAUGUUAGUUGACUUCAUUCAACCUCAUCACCACCAAUUGGACAAUUCUUUUUGGCAUUGCUAAUCAAUAGACCUCAUUUAUAUAAAUCUAUUCAUGGAUUCAUGGAGAAGGACAGACUUAUAUAUGACAGAAUUUGGUCAGGAUAGUGUUUUGAAACCAUUUCAGUUUUUUUCAUGGUAGUAAAUAAUGACACCUGCUGUUCUCCUGGGUCAAAAAAGAGCCGGUCUGGUUUGACUUAAGAAUAAAACAUCAAGCGAGUGAGUGCUUGAUGUUUUAAAAUAUAAUUAUCAUCCAGUUCUAAUAAAAAAGCACAAAUUCUGAAUUAUUUUGACUUUAGUUUAGAUCAGAGGAAUAUGUGUUCAUGGAUUCUGACAGGUUGGUAUAUUUCAAAAUUUAUUGAAGAUACUGUUUUGAAACUAUUUCUUUUUUUCUUUUUCUUUUUUUUUUAAAUGGCAGCACAUAAUGACAUCCUGUUGUCCUCCUGGGUCAAAACUGAUCCAGUCUGGUUUGACUGUUUAUAAAGCAUAAAGUAUCACUCUGUUCUGUGUUACACAUUUUUAUCCAUUUUAACUAUUGUAACUCAUUACCACAAAUUAUUUUGCACUUCUUUAUAGAAUUUAUAGUAAACAGGCUCCAUUUACAUGAAAUUAUGCCAUGGUUUUGAGUCAAAUAUGCAUAACCUUGUUGAAGUUGUUGACCCCCCCCCCUCUUGUUCCGGUUGUAGUCCAGGAUAAUUUGGGACUUUUUGUCUUCCCUGGAGCUUACAGCAGUAUCCUGAUGAAGAAUGCUCAUCAGAAGCAUACUUCUUUUUUGGGUGACAAUAGGACACAAGAGCAUGUGUCUCAGUGAACUUUGAUGAAUACCGAGCCCUGGCUCUUGUCAGCAGCAAUGCAGGAGGAAUCUCAGGUUUGUUUUCCCUGGCCGUUCCCACCAUAGUGAGCUUUUUCUUCAGCAACUCCUGGCCAAGGGCAUAUGAUGUGAAAAAGCUGUCACAUGUGAUGGGUUGUCCUUGGAGAUCUUAUGUCAUGUCAAGUACCACACAUUUGCCCUGAUCUCCUUUUGGCUGUCCAUCAGCUGGUUUGCUGGGGUAUAUUUGCAUUUUUCAGGCAUAGCUGGUCCUGGCAUUGCAUGCAGCCCGUAUUUUUAUACCAUACUUUCCAGGUUUGCUCGGCAUUUACUUUCUGAAGGCAGAGUGACCCACGAAGGAGACCAUGUGCCCAUCCACAGUCACAUCAGGGCCCAGAUUGUUCAUCAGCCACCCACUUGUCCCAUGCUUCUCAAAAGGCAGCAAGAUUAUCUUAUUCACAGCGUGCUGGUCUUGAAUCUUGAUCAUCAAAUCUAAUAAAUCUUGAAAUGAUAUGGAACAUCUUGAGUGGCAUAGUUGCAUGAAAGAUUGCCCUGCUAAACGGGGCAUGCCAUAAACUAGCUGUAGCUUCCCUACUGCCUCUUUAUACACCAACAAGAAUGAACAGACCCAGGUAUGUCUGCAGAUCCAUUCGAUCCAUUUCGGUCCACUUUUUGCUAUAUCUGUCACCCCUUCUUGUUUGUUAUGUCCAGAACCAUCUUUUCAAUUAGCUCUGACAGAAACAACUGAAAAGUGGACUUUGUGUCAUCAGCACAGGACAGUGCAUAUCUCGUUUGAUGUUGGACGCUCCACUCUCUCUCUGCUCCCAACAUACUUCCCUUGUCACUGGGAGGGAUGGACGACCAGAGCAAAUUUCCAUCUUUUGAGUGGAAAUGAUCUUCAAGUUCAGUAAGGUCCUCUUCUUCAAUUGAAUCAUGAGCCUCAUUAUUUUCAGUGUUCUCCUCUUUUUCUGACACUUCUUCCUUUUCUUCAGAUUCCUUCUGGUCACUCUCCUCCCCC
Molecule: RNA transcript, 8908 nt
Organism: Scatophagus argus
Lineage: Eukaryota; Metazoa; Chordata; Actinopteri; Scatophagidae
Gene: dlgap2a
Gene name: discs, large (Drosophila) homolog-associated protein 2a
Exons: 19
Source: RefSeq, a predicted model, not a curated record